UGGACGUUUAGCUCAGCUGGGAGAGCACCUGCCUUACAAGCAGGGGGUCACAGGUUCGAUCCCUGUAACGUCCAUCC
This 77-nucleotide transfer RNA is filed under the name Streptococcus pneumoniae. RNAcentral describes it as "tRNA-Val(tac)". It matches the Rfam family "tRNA". Rfam says of the family: Transfer RNA (tRNA) molecules are approximately 80 nucleotides in length. Their secondary structure includes four short double-helical elements and three loops (D, anti-codon, and T loops). RNAcentral also lists the same sequence under 4 other names. The record is from RNAcentral. Lineage: Bacteria; Bacillati; Bacillota; Bacilli; Lactobacillales; Streptococcaceae.